UACGUGGGCAGCAAGCGUUGUUCGGAAUUACUGGGCGUAAAGAGUGUGUAGGCGGUGCUCUAAGUCUGUUGUGAAAUCUCCCGGCUUAACCGGGAGGGUGCGGCGGAAACUGGAGUGCUUGAGGGUGGGAGAGGUAAGCGGAAUUCCUGGUGUAGCGGUGAAAUGCGUAGAUAUCAGGAGGAACACCUGUGGUGUAGACAGCUUACUGGACCACUUCUGACGCUGAGACACGAAAGCGUGGGUAGCAAACAGG
This 253-nucleotide ribosomal RNA is filed under the name uncultured bacterium. RNAcentral describes it as "partial 16S ribosomal RNA". It matches the Rfam family "Bacterial small subunit ribosomal RNA", at positions 524 to 776 of the family's 1533-position model. The record is from RNAcentral.